UACGGAGGGGGCUAGCGUUGUUCGGAAUUACUGGGCGUAAAAGCGCACGUAGGCGGCUUUGUAAGUUAGAGGUGAAAAGCCCAGGCUUAACCCUGGAAUUGCCUUUAAGACUGCAUCGCUAGAAUCGUGGAGAGGUGAGUGGAAUUCCGAGUGUAGAGGUGAAAUUCGUAGAUAUUCGGAAGAACACCAGUGGCGAAGGCGACUCACUGGACACGUAUUGACGCUGAGGUGCGAAAGCGUGGGGAGCAAACAGGG
RNAcentral lists this ribosomal RNA (255 nucleotides) under uncultured bacterium. RNAcentral's name for it is "partial 16S ribosomal RNA". It matches the Rfam family "Bacterial small subunit ribosomal RNA", at positions 524 to 777 of the family's 1533-position model. The record is from RNAcentral.